AGAUGAGGACAUAUAAAUGGAGGCUGGCAUCUUCAUAAGUACCAGCGGUGGUCCCGGUGUGGGUCUCUCCAUCCAGGGACAUGGUGGAUGGACACUACAUCACUCCAUUCUGCCCUUCCUUUCCCUCCUCCCAUUCUCCCGAGGGCCUCAGUGCAUGGGCGCUGUCCAACCUCUGGUGCUGAAGCAGCCAAGAGACCCAAGCCUGCGUGGCUGUCUCUUAGGAUAUGACAGCACAGCCACUGGCCUCUACUGAAUCCUAUGCAACCUCAGAAGACACCCAGGAGUGAUGCCAUCACGUGGUGCAAGAGUUCUGAGGGACCGCAAUCCUGAAGACAUUGAAUGGCUGUUCCUGCUCAUUGCUGGAGGCACUGUCAGGGGCCCUGUCCUCAACCCCGGGUCUGACCCUUGCAGAUCAGGCAGGACAUUCUGGAGGAAUCAUGGCCUUGGAAGGAUCCCUGAGGAGUGACUGUUGUUAGAUUAAAAAACAGUGGCAAAGAGCAAUACAGAGAGUUGCCAAAAUUCACACCACUGGUCCAGGUUUGAAGCAAGCAGUCUGUACCUGCAGUCCUUGUCUGUAACCAUGGCACCCUGGCUUCUCACACGUCUCAUCGUGGAGUUCCCCCAUGUGUCAGGCAUGGCACUGAGCACCUUCUUUUAAGAAUAUAAUUUGUAAUUAUGUAGAUUAUUAAUUCUACUUCAAAAUGCCACACAGCCUUCAUGUGAUAAAAUGAAACAAUUGGUGAGUCUAAGCAUUGAGAAAAAACGUUCUUUUUUCCACUCCCGACUCCAUUCCAACAGUUGGGACAGUGUUUUCUCUGUGCCUGUAGAAACUUCAGCUUCUGUGCUGAGGAGCCUGUUCCCUUUGGGGAAUGUGGCAGUCAGGUACUGGCAGGGACCUCGAAGUGGCUGAAGGGUCAUUAAGAAAAAGCUGUUUACAAAGGUGUGGGCAGGGCCAAGGGGAACCAGGGGGGAUGGCGCAGGGCCCUGGGGUUAGCGUCAUCUGGGAGCUGUCACCACCCUCCAGGCUGGUGGGGCCAUGGAGAAGCUGUUCCAGUAACUUGGAGAAUCUGCAGCUGAAAGAGGAGGCCAGAGGAGACAUCACUCACUGUGCCCUUUGACUGCAUCUGGAUGCCCCCACUGACCACACUACCAUCCCCUUAUUAGACUGGAGAGGCUGCAGGGAGGGGUUCUAAGCCUCCUAUAGUGGCUCACCUCCAACACUCAACUGAUCUCCUGGGAUCUCUACUAAGAUGUUGGCAGCCCGGCCAGCUGGUCUGGCCCUGGAUGUGCCUUCAGGGUCUGGUUAUGCUUCAUGACCUGCAUUGUGGUCAGUGGUAAGCAGCACCUGCUUCUAGCUUUACUGUUGGGUCAGAUCUUAUCCCCACUCCAGCUCUGCAGUGCAGCUGCUUCUUGAUUCAUCCAUGGACCCUGCACGAAAUUGCCCCAUGUUUCUGUUUGUGCAUCACUGAGGAAGGAAGCAUGAAGGACGCACAGCUCAUCUCACUCUGGUAAUGUCUUUGAUUACCACCACCAUCUGACCUGGUCUUAUGACCUGUUAGCUUCCUUCAUCAGAUGUGAGCACCAGGAUGGCAGGGGCCUCAUCUGUCCUGUUCCUCCUGUGGCCUGGGUCCUAGCACCCUGUCUGCCAUUUUGCAGACUCUGAUCACAGUGAAACGUUCCAUGGGAACUUGGGCCCUGAGAAACAUCCUUCCUAACCACGUGACUGCAGAAACAUCCUUAUCGCAUCCUCUCAGGCAAAGGCCCAACAGCCUGACUGCAGGGACAUCCUUGCCAUAUCCUGCUGGGCAGCAAGCUCUAACACCCAGAUCCCUCCCUCCCAGUCCCAUGAUUACCCCAGCCUGUGAGCGGCAGUUGGUGCUGGCACUAAGCUGGUUUCCUUCUCCCUAGGGUUUUGCUGGCAAUAAAGAUGUUGCUGUUGAAGCCACCAA
Molecule: long non-coding RNA, 1949 nt
Organism: Pan troglodytes (chimpanzee)
Lineage: Eukaryota; Metazoa; Chordata; Mammalia; Primates; Hominidae
Exons: 6
Source: RefSeq, a predicted model, not a curated record